This is a long non-coding RNA of Chiroxiphia lanceolata (lance-tailed manakin), 561 nucleotides long. RefSeq lists it as uncharacterized. The record is from RefSeq and is a predicted model, not a curated record. The transcript is spliced from 3 exons. NCBI's taxonomy places the organism in Eukaryota, Metazoa, Chordata, Aves, Passeriformes, Pipridae.
GCUCAGCCCUGGGGCUUCUUGCAUUUCACCUUGUCCCAGGGCACCAGCCAGCUGGGCUGGGCUGGCCGCUACCCCAAGGAUGGGUUUUGCUGAGGAAACACGGCAUUCCUAAAUAUUGGCUGGUUUGGUGGUGUAAGCACAUUCUUUCUGGCAUUUUUGCCUGUCCCUGGCUGUGCAUUAUUGUCCACCGGUCACAUUAUGUAGGUGCUGUUGUUCCAAGAGAAACCAAAGCAAGAAUUUGAACUUUCAAGUGCUUCCUGCCAUUGUCUUUUGCUUUUGUUUGUGCUGCUGACUCCAAACCAGAUGGAUCGGGCUCCUCUCCUUCCAGGGGGCGAUGGGAAGUCAACACAGCCGGGUGAGGUUUGACAGCUUUGUCUUCUAUUGCCCUUCAUCCGUCAAGCCCAGCCAGUGGUGCUGAAUCGGCCCUCGCAUAUGGAUGUGGGGAAGGAGAAAUUCUUCAGCUGCCAUGUUGCACUGCCACACCAGAAGCACCCACCUCUGGGAGUCCUCAGGGAGAGGUGACCUCUGAUCUCACUCCAGGUGGGGCACAGACCUGCAGGU